GAUGAACGCUGGCGGCGUGCCUAACACAUGCAAGUCGAACGGAGUUUAACGCUGAUGAAGCUUCGGCAGAUUCUUGUUAAACUUAGUGGCGGACGGGUGAGUAACGCGUGGGUAACCUGCCUCAUACAGGGGGAUAGCAGUUGGAAACGACUGAUAACACCGCAUAAGCGCACAGGAUCGCAUGAUCUAGUGUGAAAAUAUUUAUAGGUAUGAGAUGGACCCGCGUCUGAUUAGCUAGUUGGUGAGGUAACGGCCCACCAAGGCGACGAUCAGUAGCCGGCCUGAGAGGGCGGACGGCCACAUUGGGACUGAGACACGGCCCAAACUCCUACGGGAGGCAGCAGUGGGGGAUAUUGCACAAUGGGCGAAAGCCUGAUGCAGCGACGCCGCGUGAGUNAAGAAAGUAUUUCGGUAUGUAAAGCUUCUAUCAGCAGGGAAAGGAAAGGACCUUCG
Molecule: ribosomal RNA, 453 nt
Filed under: bacterium AE2016
Lineage: Bacteria
Description: bacterial SSU rRNA
Rfam family: Bacterial small subunit ribosomal RNA
Source: RNAcentral